Asparagus officinalis (garden asparagus) is the source of this 1041-nucleotide long non-coding RNA. RefSeq lists it as uncharacterized. The record is from RefSeq and is a predicted model, not a curated record. The transcript has 6 exons. NCBI's taxonomy places the organism in Eukaryota, Viridiplantae, Streptophyta, Magnoliopsida, Asparagales, Asparagaceae.
GGCCCAAAAUCUUCCUCUUGAGCCCAUGCUAAUAGGAACGUUACAUCAAUACAGCGAAAUUUCAGAUUUCCAUCUUGGGAGCUUGGAGGAACAAAGGAGGUUCGAUUGCGAAGCUCAGUCGUGAUCUAGAUGGCUGAUGAAGUGCUUGUUGACCCAAAGAAGUACCUUGAAGACCGUUGCGAACCAAAAUGUGUAAAAGCAUUAUAUGUAUACAAGUUGGCGCAUGGUGGGUUGUUUUCCUUUUUUCACAAACAUCUCGCAUGAAAUUGGAAUGUGUUAAGAGGAGCAAAGACAGAUGAAACUGGGCUCAAUCACUGUACUGGUCAAUAUUUUGAUUAUUGGUCAUGCGGUGACAAAUGCGUGACUACAUCUCUUCAAUUUUUAUUACACCUGUUAUUCGUCUUAAUUUCGGUCAUUACUUGCAAUCUUUUGAAAUAUUCGAUAACUGUUGACCUAUUUAAUAAAAACGAAUCUUUAAAUGCUGCACUUUGAAUGCAGGCUGCUCCAAGCAAACUGAAAUAAAAUGAUCAAAUAUCUACCUUUUUUGCCUCAACAGAGAAAUCCUUGUAUGAUAGAAAGUCGAAGUACACUAAAACUUGCUGAAACUGGAAUUUAGAAGGAUAAUUAAGAAAACGAAGACUUGACGACUAUAUUCUUGAAGAAAGCUAAUACAUGGUCACAUAGUGAGGACAACUUCAUACCAUCGAUAGAGAGGCACUCGGGGAUCGCUUCCACCUCCUAUGAAAUCAUACAAUGUAUAUGAGCCGUAUCCGACUCAUGAAAACAGCAAUGGCGACUCUGCAAUGGUUCUCUCUGAACAUUGUUCAAAUAUGACUUGGUUUACCUUAUUGAAGAGGUUUUUGUUCAACUUUGUCCAGUUUUUUGUUAUUUUGUUAGUGUUUGUAUAUACAGGUUUCCUUCUGUAUAGCUUAGGGUGGAAGUAUGUUGUAUGGGUAUUAGUUUACCAUUGUAUUGUUGAAGAUGGUAGGUUUUUUUUUAUAAAGAACUUGUCCAGUUUCUAUAAGCUUUGUGAUUACAACA